AUUGAACGCUGGCGGCAUGCCUUACACAUGCAAGUCGAACGGCAGCACGGGAGCAAUCCUGGUGGCGAGUGGCGAACGGGUGAGUAAUAUAUCGGAACGUGCCCAGUCGUGGGGAUAACGUAGCGAAAGCUACGCUAAUACCGCAUACGAUCUAUGGAUGAAAGCGGGGGAUCGCAAGACCUCGCGCGAUUGGAGCGGCCGAUAUCAGAUUAGGUAGUUGGUGAGGUAAAGGCUCACCAAGCCGACGAUCUGUAGCUGGUCUGAGAGGACGACCAGCCACACUGGGACUGAGACACGGCCCAGACUCCUACGGGAGGCAGCAGUGGGGGAAUUUUUGGGACAAUGGGCGCAAGCCUGAUCCAGCAAUGCCGCGUGCAGGAUGAAGGCCUCGGUU
This 394-nucleotide ribosomal RNA is filed under the name uncultured bacterium. Its description in RNAcentral is "bacterial SSU rRNA". It matches the Rfam family "Bacterial small subunit ribosomal RNA", at positions 30 to 424 of the family's 1533-position model. The record is from RNAcentral.